Molecule: ribosomal RNA, 468 nt
Filed under: uncultured bacterium
Lineage: Bacteria
Description: partial 16S ribosomal RNA
Rfam family: Bacterial small subunit ribosomal RNA
Source: RNAcentral
GACGAACGCUGGCGGCGUGCUUAACACAUGCAAGUCGAACGGAAAGGCCCUGCUUUUGUGGGGUGCUCGAGUGGCGAACGGGUGAGUAACACGUGAGUAACCUGCCCUUGACUUUGGGAUAACUUCAGGAAACUGGGGCUAAUACCGGAUAGGAGCUCCUGCUGCAUGGUGGGGGUUGGAAAGUUUCGGCGGUUGGGGCUGGACUCGCGGCUUAUCAGCUUGUUGGUGGGGUAGUGGCUUACCAAGGCUUUGACGGGUAGCCGGCCUGAGAGGGUGACCGGCCACAUUGGGACUGCGGUACGGCCCAGACUCCUACGGGAGGCAGCAGUGGGGAAUAUUGCAGAAUGGGCGGAAGCCUGAUGCAGCAACGCCGCGUGCGGGAUGACGGCCUUCGGGUUGUAAACCGCUUUCGCCUGUGACGAAGCGUGAGUGACGGUAAUGGGUAAAGAAGCACCGGCUAACUACGUG